GGCGGCAGCGUGGUGGUGCUCACCGGCGCGGUCGCGUCCCCGGGGUUCCGGUUCGUGGUCACCUCCGACGGGUCCGUCCUGGCGAAGCUCAACCCUUACCUCGAGUCCGGGAAGGUGAAGCCGGUGGUCGACCCCAAGGGGCCCUUCCCCUUCUCCCAGGUCGUGGAGGCGUUUUCCUACCUCGAGACCGGGCGAGCCACCGGCAAAGUAGUCAUUUCACCAGUUCCAUGAGACACUGCUGUAAAUAGCUAGCACAAGUGGUGUGUUUUUGUCACAGAUCACUGAGCAAAUAUUUGUUGGAUCGUGCGUAUAAACAGAAAAAGAUGUGAUGUUAUCAGAGAUGGCGGUAGGUUCAUGGUGUAUUUACUACAAUGAACAUAAAUCUGUAGUAUUUGUUCAAUCUGUACCUGACAUUUUACCAUUCAGUUAUGUUUCUGAUAGUUCAAAAGGCUACAGAGGGUUGUACUGCUUUCCUGAAUUUCCAAAGUGAA
RNAcentral lists this long non-coding RNA (491 nucleotides) under Triticum aestivum (bread wheat). Its description in RNAcentral is "long non-coding RNA (TAES_LNC011565)". Lineage: Eukaryota; Viridiplantae; Streptophyta; Magnoliopsida; Poales; Poaceae. The record is from RNAcentral.